RNAcentral lists this unclassified non-coding RNA (658 nucleotides) under Hevea brasiliensis (rubber tree). The record is from RNAcentral. Lineage: Eukaryota; Viridiplantae; Streptophyta; Magnoliopsida; Malpighiales; Euphorbiaceae.
UUAUAUCACAAUCUGAAAUUAUCAUUGAUGCAAGUAUACCUAUUCUAACGAAAAAAUGUCAUUCCAUCUUUAUACUUCCUACCAUCUUUUGAUAUAAAUAAACCAUAUGAAGGGGAAAGAAAGAAUCUGCACCCAUUUUACGCAUGCAGAUUACACAUGGCCAUAAUAUAAGAAUUGACGGGGGAAAAAUGCUGCAUUACAAAGAACAAAUGUCAGUGAGAUGCUGAAGGAAGCUUCCAAAAGCUUUUUGUUGCAACCAGAAUUUUUUCUCUCCCGUGUGAUUCAGGUUCCUUCUCAUGAAUAAUAGUUGUCCAUCUUACAGCAUGAGCUAUGUGAUCUACUCUGUCAAUAACUUCAGGACUAUCACGAAUCAUAACAGUUCCUUCUGGACGUAACAUUCUAUCCAUCUCCACUAUCAAAUCCACAAGGUUACACCUGUUCUUGCUUGAACCCGGACUUUUUAUCAGCGAUUCAAUGCCAGCCACAUGGAUGAGAUCAUAAGUACGAGGAUAUGUUGAGAAAGGCUCACACCAGUCAUGGUAGACUCCAAUAAGGCCUCGGUCAAAAAUUACACAGACAGCUUGCCAGCAGGUACAAUAUUCAUCACCCAUACAGGAUCAGAUGCAAGAGCUGCAGCAAAACCCCCAAAAAAUGCAUU